GACGAACGCUGGCGGCGUGCCUAAUACAUGCAAGUCGAGCGAAGUUUUUCUGGUGCCUGCACCGGAAAAACUUAGCGGCGAACGGGUGAGUAACACGUAAAGAACCUGCCUCAUAGACUGGGACAACUAUUGGAAACGAUAGCUAAUACCGGAUAACAGCAUUAACUGGAUGGUUGAUGUUUAAAAGUUGGUUUUGCUAACACUAUGAGAUGGCUUUGCGGUGCAUUAGCUAGUUGGUGGGGUAAAGGCCUACCAAGGCGACGAUGCAUAGCCGACCUGAGAGGGUGAUCGGCCACACUGGGACUGAGACACGGCCCAGACUCCUACGGGAGGCAGCAGUAGGGAAUCUUCCGCAAUGGGCGAAAGCCUGACGGAGCAACGCCGCGUGAGUGAAGAAGGAUUUCGGUUCGUAAAGCUCUGUUGUUAGGGAAGAAUGAUUGUGUAGUAACUAUACACAGUAGAGACGGUACCUAACCAGAAAGCCACGGCUAACUACGUG
RNAcentral lists this ribosomal RNA (499 nucleotides) under uncultured bacterium. RNAcentral describes it as "partial 16S ribosomal RNA". It matches the Rfam family "Bacterial small subunit ribosomal RNA", at positions 28 to 507 of the family's 1533-position model. The record is from RNAcentral.